This 253-nucleotide ribosomal RNA is filed under the name uncultured bacterium. Its description in RNAcentral is "partial 16S ribosomal RNA". It matches the Rfam family "Bacterial small subunit ribosomal RNA", at positions 524 to 776 of the family's 1533-position model. The record is from RNAcentral.
UACGUAGGGUGCAAGCGUUACUCGGAUUUAUUGGGCGUAAAGCGCAUGUAGGUUGUUUCGUAAGUCUGAUGUGAAAGCCCUGGACUCAAUUCAGGAACUGCAUUGGAUACUGCGAGACUAGAGUAUGGGAGAGGUAGGCGGAAUUCCUGGUGUAGAGGUGAAAUUCGUAGAUAUCAGGAGGAACAACAGAGGCGAAGGCGGCUUACUGGACCAUAACUGACACUGAGAUGCGACAGUGUGGGGAGCAAACAGG